Molecule: long non-coding RNA, 5358 nt
Organism: Equus caballus (horse)
Lineage: Eukaryota; Metazoa; Chordata; Mammalia; Perissodactyla; Equidae
Source: Ensembl
AGACUGAUAUAAAUAAAUACGUUGAAAGUUUGAGGAACAACAGGUAUUUAAGUAGUUUUCAAUACAUUCCCCAUAAAAUACUUAAUAAUUACAAAGAAGGAAGAAGAAACUACAUGGAGAAGCCUGUUGGACACCACCCUAAUCAAGUGAUCAGAGUGAUCCUCAUCAAUAGUGGGACGAAUGGAAAUCUUGAGCCACCUAAUGGGAUGCAAUGAGAAGAGCCCAGCAUCACUUCCGUGAUAUUCCUAUCAAAGAUGUAUAACCUGAAUUUUGACUUUUUUUGUGUGUGUGUGUGGUGAGGAAGAUUGGCCCUGGGCUAACAUCUGUUGCCCAUCCUCCCCUUUUUGCUUGUGGAAGAUUGUCCUUGAGCUAACAUCUGUGCCAAUCUUCCUCUAUUUUUGUAUGUGGGAUGCUGCCACAGCAUGGCAUGAGGAACAGUGCCUAGGUCCGUGCCCAGGGUCCAAACACACAAACCCUGGGCCACCGAAGCAGAGCAUGUGAACGUAACCACUACGCCACCACACCGGCCCCUGAAUUUUGACCUAAAAAAAUAUUUAUUUUUUAGGUGAUCCCACAAGGAGGAAACAAUCAGACAAAUCCAGGCUAUGAGACAUUCUAUAAGACAAGCAGAUGGGACAGCUGGGGAGAGGCGGGGAGAGGAUGUCAUCAGGCACCUGGGAGGGAGUGGGCAGUCCCGUUACAUACACACUGCACCCUAUUACAGCCCUGCAGACUUUUUGUAGCUGAGGAAACUGAGGCACAGGGAGGUGAAGUCAAUUCUUCAAGGACCCAGCCGCAGACCCUGGAUUGGGCUUGUCUUCAAAGCCCUCACUCCCAUCUGCAGGCCGAUUCUGGAAUUGAUGGUUGGAGCAAUUUUGGGUGGCGGAUGGGGCACAGGCAAGACAUGACUGAACUUUUUGGCUGGGACUGGCACAGGGCAGGCAUUUACUCGACAUUUGUUGGUGGAUACAGGGCUCUGUGCUCCCGGGCCAGAGGCCGGCUUACACAGGUAGAACAUGCACAAAGAGGAUUCUAGACGCAUCCCUGCUGGGGGGCAGCCAGGGCUGAGAGCCCGGGCUGUGGGCCCAAGGGCCUGGAGGAACAGGGUGCCUUCUGUUUGACCUCAAGGAGCAGCUGCCACCUUCUCCCUCCCACUUCUCUAUCAAGGCCUGUAGCAGCAAGAAAAUUGUAGUCUCAUUACCCAGUGACCCGAGAAGCACAAUUAAGCUGAAAAUUAGUUGGCAUAAUUAAUUAGAUGGGUAAAUAGCUCCCUGUCAACACCAAUCAAUCCAUUCUGCAUAUAAUCAGCUCGGCACCGGCAGGAAGGAGCUCCUGCAGCUGCUGCUUCUGCUGGUGGGCCAGGGCCUGGGGGGAGCGGAAAUGGGCACCAGGGGACAGGAUGUGCAGCCAGCACAGCCCCUGGCCCAGGCCAGGACCGCCAUGGGAACUCACGAAGUUCUGGCUCGUUUUCAGGGAAGUCCACUGCACUGGAAUAAGCUGCCUGUGCCAGCCCAGCUUUGUGUGGGAGCAGGAGUGGGAGCAAGAGGACUGGGGUUCCCCCAUUUCUACCACCUCCCCCGCCCCUCCCCUACAUAGCUGAGAGUGAGUGGGGAAGGAAGGUUGAAGAUAUCAGCUGUUAAAGGAAGGAAUUUAUAAGUAGCUCAUCUUUCUUUAACCACUUAGAAAUGGUUCUCAUGAAUUUCACAUAACCCUGGGUGCAGGUCACCCAGUGGUCAGAACCCGCCCACGGUGGCCAUCAGGCUGGACGGGAUCAUCAGAAGGCCCCUCCCUCCAAGCUGGGCUGGGAAAAUUUUCUCCUCUACAGGAAUCCACUCAGUCUCCUUUCUUCUGAAAAUAACUCUAUUGGCUUUAGCCCUUUGUUUUGUGAAUAUGACAUGUUCAUUAUAAAAAUUUGGCAAAAACAAAUAAAAUAAAACGCAUUCAUAUGAUAGGAAAAAAAUCAAGCAUCUUCCAUAGUCACAGCACUAGAGAUGGUAAUUUUUAACAUUUUCUUGGGUGCUGUGGCAACAGUGUAGAUUAGAUCCUGGGACCCACCACAGCUUAACUCUGGGGAGGGAAGAAGGAGUGAUGUGAUGAUAUGAUAAGAAGGACGUAGCAUCUCCUUUGUAGCACUUACGCAGUGUUUGUUUACCUACUUAACAUCUCUUAAUUAGGGAGGAACCAAUUCUGUCUCCAAAGUUCACCACUUUGACCCCAGCGGCUAUCCCACUGUUGGGUGGGAGGGGCACCUUCCAGCAGCCCCUAUCCCAAGGGAAAGCAGAAAUACCAGCUUCAGCCACUUCUGUAGACCUAAUGGGCUGUAUUCCUUCUACAUCUCCCCCCACCCCCCCACACACUAGCUAAUUGCCUCUUUCUGCAGAGAAAAGCAAUGUUCUAGAAGAUUCCCACCUGCACCCCUCUUUGGCUCUGGUGACUUAAAGAUUGUAAGGCUGAAUCAGCUCACUGGGGCCAACGCCCUGCUUCCCUUCAGUGAGCAAAGACCUGCUCUGUGGGUAGGAGACCUUGCUGUGCUCCCCACACCGCAUGUGGAGCGUGGGCGAUGGACCUUGGAGCCCGUUCCCGGCCAGGUCACGGAAAGGCCUACCUGGUCACUGAAAUCAGAGCCCACACACCUUUGGAAUGUGGAGCCAGGUCUUUGAUCAGAGUAAAAGCUGAGGAUAUAGAAAUGAACCAACUGCAGGUCUGCCCUCAAAGAAAGACGUGCAGUUACAGUGGAAUGUGAGGAGCGCUUCCUGUCAUCAUCAAAUGCCGGUGGGCCCGCCGUGGGCUCUGCACAGCCUACAGCUUGGCCCCCGCUGUGGAGGGGCCUACACUCCACUGGGAAAGACAGCAAAGGAGGAGUCACGACCUCCAACCUCCAGCUGGGAUGAGUGUUAAGGUCAGGGGAGCAAGAGCUGUGAGAAUACAGAGCCGGGUGUCCUGGCCCAGCCCAGGGCUGGAGGCGUGGUGAGGACCUCAAAGAGACAAGUUCCAGAGGGCAGGCCUCGGCGCUGGGGCACAGGGUGACUUCCUCCUGAAGCUGUUAGGCAGGACACAGACAAGCCCAGAUUAAUGCCUGUGACAGAGGCCUCUGGCCACAGUGUGGAGAAGAGCAAGAGGCCCUCAGGGAACAUCCGGGCUGGCAGGGGUCAGGCCUUCCUUCUUCUCUGUGCUUCGUCAGCACAGUCAGAGCAAUGACUCUCAGACGCUUCCACAACAGGCUGACUCACACGGUGCGGUCCGCUCGUCCAGUCACAAAUGGAGCUGGGAGGACGUGGCCUUUCGCUGCCCUGGAUAGAUGACAAAAGAACUGUUGGCUGUUCCUCCCGCCCUGCACUCGGCCUCCCUGAACUUGCCCAGCUGGCUGCACCCUCGCUUCUGGCUUGUCACAGCCAGAAUACUGAGAGGAGACACGUGGGCCACAGCGGGGUCCUACACCACCCCCAGUCCUGGUUGGGAAGGGGCCAGGCCUGGGAACCCUUUGCUGCCUCUCAAAGUACCACAGGAGAACUUUCUCCUGAAAUGGGGCCUUUCUGCCCAGCCUCCUUCUUUCCCCAAUAACCUCUCCCCUCACCUGCCCUCUGGACUCCCUCUAGAGUUUUAUUUUUUUUUAAGCAGAGAGGACUGGAAAGCUGAUGAGAGUCACAGUGAGCAUGGAUUCUGGAAGCCACUCACCCUGACUUCCCUCCCACUGGAGCAGCGACCGCAGAGGACCGUGAGAGGAAAGACAGGCUGUGGGCCGCGGCCAGCUCAGAUGCAGCCCACUAUCGGGUUGUGACCCCCGCCGAGCCGAUGGAGACAGUGACCCGUGGGUGGGAGGGAAGCUCAGGGAGAGGUCAGGGGUGAAAACAAAAGUCCCAGCUCUUAACACCCGUGAACACCCCCAACACAGACAAAUCUUGGAGCUUCUGGGGGUGAAACAGAAAACCUGCCCAAAUUCAGGACAGAACAUAGUUUCAGGCUGUCCACAAGCUCCUUAGACUUCCACUGUCAACAUGCACAGGAAUGUUUGCUACUGUAUUUGUUCCUAACUGGGAAGAAUUCGAUGUUCUAGAAUUAGAAGGCCUAGAGCAGCUCGGGCUCCAUCACUAAGGACCACAGACUGUGGGGCUUAAACAAGAGAAAUUUGUUCUCUCACAGUUCUGGGCACUGGGAGGCCCAGAUCAGGGUGUUAAAAGGGUUGGUUUCUUCUGAGUCCUCUCUCGCGGCUUGCAGGUGGCCGUCUUCCUCCCGCGUCUUCACAUGGUCUUUUUUGUUGGCGUCUGUGUCCUGAUCUCGUCUUCUCAGAGACAGUCUGUUGUGGUUAGAAAGAACAGGAAGAUCUACGUGUAUUGGCAGGGAAAGAGUUUCCAGCUAUUGUUGAGUGGGGAAAGUCAGUCACAGGACAAUAUGUUGAGGGGCGAGGGUGGGAAGAGUGCUCAGUUCUUCACUCUCUCCCUCGCCCUGGCUUUACAGCCUCUCCCACCGUGGGCCGAGUACAUUUCCCAGCCCCAGGGAUGUUGAACUUGGCCAGGUGACUUGGUUUGGCCAAUGGAACUCAACGGAGGCACCCAGAGCAGACACCUUCAAUGUGCUUACUUGGCAGAGCUUGGUCUCUUGGGAUGCUGUGACCCCCAGUGAGAAGAAUACAUCCCAGGGAAAGGCUGGUCCAAGGAGAACGUGGAGAUGUGACAAGCAGAACUGAGCCCAACCUCAGCCUGGAGCUAGCCCAGUAACUCACAUACCCAGGAGCAAGAAAAAUACACACUUACCUGGAAAGCAUUAUGCUGAGUGAAGUCAGCCAGACACAAAGGACCAAUAUUGUCUGAUUCCAUUUGUGUGAAAUAUUUAGAAUAGGCAAAUCCAUAGAAAGUAGACCAGAGGCUACCAGGGGCUGGAGGGAGAGGCGAAUGGGGAGUUAAUUACUUAAUGGGUACAGAGUUUCGGCUUCGGGGGAUGAAAAGGUUUUCGAAAUAGUUGAGACUUGCACAACAUUGAGAAUGUACUUAAUGCCACUGAACUGGGCACCUAAAAAUGGUUAAAAUGGUAGAUUUCGUGUUAUAUAUAUUUUACCACAAUUUCAAAAAACGAUGUAAUACAUACAGUCAUGAACCACAACGAUGGACCAAAUAUACGACAGUGGUCCCGUAAGAUUAGUACCAUGUAGCCUAGGUGUGUAGGAGGCUCUGCCUUCUAGGUGUGUGUACGUAUACUCUCUGAUGUUCACACGACGACGAAAUUGCCUAAUGACGACGCAUUUCUCAGAACGCAUCCCUGUUGUUAAAUGGCUGUACACAGAAGCCAUUGAAUUGUACGCUUUAAAUGGGUGAAUUGUAUAGGAUGUGAAUCAUAUUUCAAUAAAGCUAUUUUUUAAAAGCA